AUGAAAUUGAGUUAAACACAAUUGUCUAGAUUCCUUUGUCACUUUUUAUGGACAACAUUUAUUCAAAAUGCAGUGGACAUGUGAACAAAUUUGGGUCUUUAUAAUAUGGCAAAUGCAGUUGCCUUGCUUUUGGAAAAUAAAGCAUCCUAAAAUUGGCAUCAAUUACUAAUUAGAAUGUUAGAGUUUAAAAUAAGACUAUGAUCUUCAGAGAGUGAUUGGACUACUGAGAUCGUAGUACAUCAUCACUGGAUGGUCUAGGUGCAGUCCCAACUUGAUUUUCUUUCUCUACUCCCAUUUUCAGAUUUUUCAUCAGACUCUCUAGUUGUUUAUUUCCAACCACCUUUCAUGCCCUGUGUGUAAUUCUCUCCUUUUGAUACAUUAUUGCAUUUUAGUAUUGUUUGAAAUUCAAUCGAAUGAAAAGUACUUUAUUAAUCAUCACUCUAUUGUCUGUCUAUUAUUUUUCAAAAUCUUUAGAAAUGCAAACAAUGCUGCAAUCAACAUCUUCCUGUUUAUAUCUAUUUAUAUGUGCCAAGUUUCCUGCAGGUUUCUGAGGUCUUCCUUAUGCUUAUCAAUUAUGAAAAGAUUAAAGGCAAAAGGAUAGUUCUGAGGGAAACAUAUUACCC
Molecule: long non-coding RNA, 623 nt
Filed under: Homo sapiens (human)
Lineage: Eukaryota; Metazoa; Chordata; Mammalia; Primates; Hominidae
Description: HSALNT0320963
Source: RNAcentral